AUGACUGGUUUUACUGAUUCCUCCCUCUUGAAGAACUGUAAUGCCAUUAAUUUGGUGUUGCAGGGAAUCAGGACUGUUACUUUGAAAAAAUUAGAGUGUUUAAAGCAGGCUUUAGCUUGAAUACAUUAGCAUGGAAUAAUGAAAUAGGACGUUUGAUCCUAUUUUGUUGGUUACUAGGAUUGACGUAAUGAUUAAUAGGGAUAGUUGGGGGCAUUAGUAUUCAAUUGUCAGAGGUGAAAUUCUUGGAUUUAUUGAAGACUAACUACUGCGAAAGCAUUUGCCAAGGAUGUUUUCAUUAAUCAAGAACGAAAGUUAGGGGAUCGAAGACGAUCAGAUACCGUCGUAGUCUUAACCAUAAACUAUGCCGACUAGGGAUCGGAUGAUGUUAAUUUUUUAAUGACUCAUUCAGCGCCUUACG
RNAcentral lists this ribosomal RNA (418 nucleotides) under uncultured Glomeromycotina. RNAcentral describes it as "SSU rRNA". It matches the Rfam family "Eukaryotic small subunit ribosomal RNA", at positions 676 to 1092 of the family's 1831-position model. Lineage: Eukaryota; Fungi; Glomeromycota. The record is from RNAcentral.